UCUCAAAUGCUCUCCCACUCUAAUUUCUCUGUCAAUAUCACCAUUUUAGAGAGAGAGAGCGAGAGCGAGCUGCCAGUUCCAGAUAAUAUCCACACAAGUAGCUAGCAAUGGCAGCCACAUUCUGUAUCCUUACCUGUGGGUCUGGUCUGAAGAUACUCAACGGUUAUUUCCUGAACCAAAGUUACAUCACAAGGAGUUAUCCAAUAGUCUCCGUGUCAGAUGCUGUCAAAAAAUCAUCACAUCAUCGCCAUAGUACUCAAAGAUAUUCCAUUAGGGCUUAUUUAAGACGAUCAGAAUUAAAGCAACAACACCAACAUAGGCAGACUUCCUCCAAGUGUAGAGCUGAUCUUUCUGACUCUAGUUAUGAAGAGGAAAAGGAAGAGAAUAUUUCUAGAGCAACCUUGAUAUGGAGGGCAAUCAAAUUACCGAUCUACUCUGUUGCCUUGGUUCCUCUCACUGUAGGAAGUGCAGCUGCGUAUUUGCAGACUGGCCUUUGUUCACUUAGGCAGUAUCUUGUGCUUAUGGCUUCCUCAGUUCUUAUCAUCACUUGGCUCAACUUAAGCAACGACGUUUAUGAUUUUGAUACAGGAGCAGAUAAGAACAAGAAAGAGUCAGUUGUAAACAUGGUUGGCAGCCGUACAGGAACCCUUUUUGCUGCCUACUUACUACUUGCACUUGGCUUCAUGGGGCUUACUUGGGCAUCAAUUGAAGCUGGAAAUGUGCGUGCAAUAUUAUUACUGGCUUGUGCAAUUACUUGUGGUUACAUAUACCAGUGCCCACCAUUUCGGUUAAGUUACCAGGGGCUGGGAGAGCCAUUGUGCUUUUCAGCAUUCGGCCCAUUUGCCACUACUGCCUUCUACUUGUUGCAAAGCAGCAAAAGUGAGUUGAACAAUCUUCCCAUUACUGGCACAGUCCUUGCUGCAUCACUCCUUGUUGGCCUCACCACAUCCCUAAUCCUAUUUUGUAGUCACUUUCAUCAGGUAAAGGGUGACAGGGCUGUUGGAAAAAUGUCCCCUCUGGUUAGACUUGGUACUGAAUCAGGUUCAGAGGUUGUGAAAGUGGCCGUGAUGACUCUCUAUUUACUGUUGUUUGCUUUUGGUCUUAGCAAAUCUCUUCCUUUUACUUGCAUUUUUCUUUGUGCACUGACAUUACCCAUAGGAAAGCUAGUGGUUGACUAUGUACAAGAGAACCACAAGGACAAAACAAAAAUAUUUAUGGCCAAGUAUUAUUGUGUGAGAUUGCAUGCCUUAUUUGGAGCUGCUUUGGCUGCUGGGUUGGUAGCAGCUAGAAUCGUCUCUAGAAGAUAUAUUCCGAAGCUGCCAUUCACCUGACUCUGAUUCUUGUCCUCACAUCUUGAAGUUUUGAUGGACACAAUAUCAGCAGGAAAAUAAACAACGGGCAACUUUAGCACCGUUGUGGGUAUCGGCAAGGGCAAAUGGAAAACAUCCUACCAAGUACAAGAAGCCGAUACCGAGUUGGAUUUUUCAGAGUUUCAGCUCUGCCAAAGUUGCAUCCUGAUUCCUUACUCGAAGCUGAUUGUAGCAGAGGCCAUAUUAUUCACUAUUGUGAAAGCUGGUUUUAGCAGAGGCACAUAUUUUUCACUGUUGUGGGUCUGCUAGCUGACUUCGUUUGCUCUAGUUGAUUUUCCUGUAUAAAAACAUGUCUAGGGAAUCUACAACAUAUUAUGAAUAAAAUCAUUGUUAGCUUUGGAGGUUACAAUUUCUCUA
This is an RNA transcript of Cornus florida, 1727 nucleotides long. It is a transcript of the gene named 2-carboxy-1,4-naphthoquinone phytyltransferase, chloroplastic, with no coding region annotated. Lineage: Eukaryota; Viridiplantae; Streptophyta; Magnoliopsida; Cornales; Cornaceae. The record is from RefSeq and is a predicted model, not a curated record. The transcript is spliced from 13 exons.